This 466-nucleotide ribosomal RNA is filed under the name uncultured bacterium. RNAcentral describes it as "partial 16S ribosomal RNA". It matches the Rfam family "Bacterial small subunit ribosomal RNA", at positions 28 to 507 of the family's 1533-position model. The record is from RNAcentral.
GACGAACGCUGGCGGCGUGCUUAACACAUGCAAGUCGAACGGAAAGGCCCUGCUUGCCGGGUACUCGAGUGGCGAACGGGUGAGUAACACGUGGGUGAUCUGCCCUGCACUUCGGGAUAAGCUUGGGAAACUGGGUCUAAUACCGGAUAGGAACCAUCUUUAGUGUGGUGGUUGGAAAGUUUUUUCGGUGUAGGAUGAGCUCGCGGCCUAUCAGCUUGUUGGUGGGGUAAUGGCCUACCAAGGCGGCGACGGGUAGCCGGCCUGAGAGGGUGUACGGCCACAUUGGGACUGAGAUACGGCCCAGACUCCUACGGGAGGCAGCAGGGGGGAAUAUUGCACAAUGGGCGCAAGCCUGAUGCAGCGACGCCGCGUGGGGGAUGAAGGCCUUCGGGUUGUAAACUCCUUUCGCUAGGGACGAAGCGUUGUUGUGACGGUACCUAGAGAAGAAGCACCGGCUAACUACGUG